This 7800-nucleotide long non-coding RNA is filed under the name Solanum tuberosum (potato). Its description in RNAcentral is "long non-coding RNA (STUB_LNC003221)". The record is from RNAcentral. Lineage: Eukaryota; Viridiplantae; Streptophyta; Magnoliopsida; Solanales; Solanaceae.
UUUAGAGGUGAAAAGGCGAAAACCAACUUUCCUAUCACAGAAUAUGCUGCUGCUGCCGUUAAUGACGAGAUUAACAAGUUGCCAACUGUAGUAAUGGAAGAAGAGAGAGAAUUAUUAGUACAAGUCCUUCAUGGUGUUGAUGUGGCUGUUAAUGGUGAUCAAAAUUAUAGUAGUAGUAGUAGUAGUAUGCAAAAUGGUGAAGACGACGACUUUUGGGAGACAUUAGAAGAUGAUGGACUUGUAAAGCGGAUCACACAAGCUAUGUUCUUCUGAUUCUCUAUUCGGCUUAGUUUUUUUGUCUGAAAAUAUCUUUAUUCUUUGGUUUGUUUGUCGUUUUCUUCAACUUCUUUUGAGUGGCUACUAAGGAGUGAUAGGAAGUAUCUUGUACUAGUAUUGAGUAAUAAUAAUAAUGUACUCAAGUGUUAAAGAGGCUGCAAUCAUAUAUAUACAAAUAUAUAUUAAAUAUUAUGCGUUAAAUACAUAAAAUAACUUUUUUAUGAUUCGAGGUUAUCUGAUCAAAUUUGAUGAUUAUUUGUCGGAUAAAAGAACUUAUUACCCUUGUUUCUUAAAAAAUUUAUAUACAUAUUCUAUAGAGAUGCCCCCUUCGGUUUUUUUCUUAAUUUCCUAAAUUUGCCUGACUAUAUAGCAUAGUGUUCUUUAUAACAAUAACAUACUUUAAAAAUAUUAAUCAAUUAGCUAGAUGUCAUCAUAGAACUUUAUUCUAUCUCAUCUCCUUCAACAAAUAACCCUUGAUAGAGGCUUUUACGUUUUCCUUCCAGAACCUUCGAGGAUGACAUGUUCUACUUCCUAAAUACGAGAAUGUUGCGGUGUCAACUGCAUAUUUGCCUACGAACUUUUCUUUUUUGGUUUCCCACCUGGUGUUCGGAGUUCACAUUAGAGCUCCGACUAAAUUCGGAUCGCCCUUUACAGGUCUCAUUCGGAGGUGGCGCUUCCAACAAGAUUUUCUCCAUAUCUAAGGCUCGAACCCGAUACUUCUGAUUAAAGGUGAUGCACUCCCACCAGUGUACCACAACUCAUGUUGGUCAUAUUUGCCUACGAACUGCUAAUUAAGAAUCACAAAUUAGUCUGAUUUUUAUGAAAGAGCCACGUCAACUCAGCACAACGGACUGAACUUCCUAGGUGUUACGUGGCCCAACAAAGCCGUCAAAUGGAGGCACAGAUGGCAUAAAGUAUGGCUCACCACGUGUGGAUGCAAUUAGUGAUUCAGCAGCUUACCCAGCCAACCGAAGUCCAUAACUAAAUCGAGUAUUUAAGUAUACCCUCUGUCUUAUAACAUUAUAUUAUGUCUGUAUUAAUUGAUUAUCUUAGUUAAAAAUAAUGUCUAAUAUUAGUUGUUCACCUUAUUAGAUUAAGAAAAAAAUUAAUUAAAAGUUUCAUAUAUUACCCUUGCAAUAAAUAUUUUUUAAAGUGUUCACAUUUAUUUGUAAAAUUCUCAAGUUUAUUAAGAUGUAAAAAAUUAUCUUCUUAUGAAGGGAGUAUUAUAAUACUUAAAAUUAAUUUAAAAUCCAAAUUACAACUCCCUCUAUAUUAAAUAAAUUGUUUGAAAAAAAUUUCAAAGUUAAAAAAUAAGUGAAUUAUUAAUUUUUCUUUUUUUAUUUAUCUUUCAUUUAAUGAGAUUUUUUAACUAUUUCAUAUUUUUUAAGAUUAUAAUUUAAAAAAUAACAUAUAUCUAAAAUAUUUUUCUUAAUAGAGUACACAAUAAUUCAUUUAAUAUGUAGCAGAGGCCAGCUGAGGGAAUAGUACUUCUUUUUGGGGUUAGUAUUAGAAAUAUAGAGUCCAAUUCGGAGUGUAGUUAUCUCCGAAUGAAGGAAGCUUCUAUAUAUAGAAAGUCCUAAGUUCUUUCUAGAACUUACGAAUUUAGUAACUACAGAACCUACGAAUAUGUCACAUGGGCCAAUUUUUCGCAAAAUAGCCACGUGGAGUAAUCAGAGCUGCUCAUUACGUGGCCUACAUAUGAGUUAACUUAGUGUGCAGUAUGUGUUCCAGCUCACUCCACUGAAGCCACAUAUACCCAAAACGAAAUCAAUAAAUAAGCACACAGUUAGAGAUCUCUAACCCUAUCCUCUAUUUUACUCUCUAAAUAUAAUUUUUUUUAUUUUUUUGGACAAUCAACUACAAUUCAACUCUCUAUUUUAACCUCUAAAAAAGAUUUUUUUCUCUCUCUUAAAUAUUAUAUUAUUAUUUCUAUUUCAUUCUUAUUUUUCUUAUUUCAUAAUAUAAAUACCUUAUUUCUUUUUUCCAAUAAUUACUUUAUAUAAUUUUCAUGUUAUAUAAAAAUUUAUUUUUUCAAAUUUUUUAUUUAAUAUAAAAUUAUGUUUUAUUCUAAAUUUUUAAAUAACAUAAAAUUUGCAAGAAAGUAUUAUAUAAUAUACAAAUUAAUGGACAAAUUCAAAUAAAAGUGAAACACAAAUUACAUAAACACUCAAUUUUCAAAAUUAUUAACGUUGCUUCCAUAAAUGCUCUAUUAAUGCAUUACAGAGUUCAAAAUGAACAUUUUUGUUCUUAAUUUUUUUUUAUGUCUAGCUAAAAAUUAUUCAAAUCGGAGAUUUUCAUCUACCACCAUUUAUGUCGUUGGAGUUGGAGCCUCUACGACAUCUUGAAUUGGUGCAUUAAGUUCAUAUUCAUCCUCAAUUAUCAUGUUGGACAGUAUAAUACAUGUAGUCAUUAUAUCAUGUAGCACUUUCCUUAGCCAAAAACGUGACGGCCUUGCAAUAAUUGCAAAACGUGAUUGCAAAAUUCCGAAUGCACGUUCAACAUCUUUUCGGCAUGAUUCUUGUUUCAUCGGAAAUUAAUUAUUAGGUUAUGUAUUGUAUUUUAUCUUGUAUUUAAAUUAUUAUGUCAUGUAUUGUAUUGUUAUCUUGUAUUUAAAUUAUCAUAUUAUGUAUUGUAUUUUUAAUUAAAUUUUUCUAUUCUUAUCAUUUUAAUUUUGUUGUAUUCUUUAUAGUGAAAAUUAAUAGUAAAAUCAAAUUAUAUUAUUGACGAAAAUUAGAAAAAUUAAAAUACUAUUAAUUCAGGAUGAAAGUAGUAUAUAUUAAAUAAUAUGUUUUUAAAAAUAUUAUAUUACAUUUAAAAAUAAUUAUGAAUAUUAGAUAUUUAAUUAAUGACAUUAUAUAUAAAAUAAUAUGUUAAUUAGAAAGUAAUAGAAAUAAUAAUAAAAUAUUUAAAAAGUGAAAUAGAGAGUGUUGAAUAGUAGUUCUCCAAACUAUUAUUCACCUAUCUAAAUAUGAAGAAUAGAGAGUGAUAUGGAGAUGAAUUGGAGCGCUUAUUCUCUAUUUUACUCUCCAAAUAUAGAGAAUGAAGAGUAAAAUAGAGGUGGAUUGGAGAUGGUCUUACAAAUCAUUAACAACUACAAAUAAAUUCAGCUUAUUUUAGAAAAAAAAAGAAUAGAUUCUGUCAAGAUUCUCUACUUCAAGAAAAUGACUGUUAUACCCUCGCACACAAUUUGACUGAAAAUAAAAAACUUUACUACAUGGUGUCAGCUCUCCGACAUGUUGUCUCUGGCGUCGGCGACGGCCGAGUGGACGGCGAAGCUGCUCAGCAUUUGUUGGAAGUUCAAAAUGCUAGUGGUGGUUCAGCCACGUCAGCUAAUUCGAUGCCACGUAGGAGCGGCAUUAAUGUGGGGUUGGGGAAGGGGAAGAAGAGGAGAAGGAGGAAUACGAAAAAGGAAUAGAGGGGAGUGAGACAAAGACCAUGGGAACGAGUUUGGUUGGAUAUUGAGCAACUUUCACAUAUAGCAAAUACAGAAAUCAUAUUUGUAUGCUAUAACUAUAGUUUGCAUAAUUGGGCUCCAUAGCAAACAUAAAUAUGUAUAUUUCGUUAUACAUAUACAAAAGAAAGUAGUUGUAUAUAAUCUGUUUCUGUUUCGGUAUACAUAUACAAAAGAUCAAUUGUAUAAUCUGUAUUUUUAUAAAGCGAGAAAGAAAGAAAGACAAAAGAGAACUGGACAGAGAAAUUAUAUAUAUAUAUUGUAUAAUUAUAACUGUAUAGGACGAAGAUAUAUGUAUUUAUAUGUGUAUAUACAAUUUUCUCUCGCUUUAUACUAACAGAAACGCAAUUUAUACAUUUAUGUUUGUAUAAGCGAGAGAGGCGAGGGAAAGACUGGCGAGCGAGAUCUGGGAGAGGGGAACGAAAAUAUAUGUAUAUAUACAAUUUUUCCUCACUUUAUACAAACACAAACGCAUUUUAUACAUUUGAGUUUGUAUAAAAGCGAGAGAGGCGAGAGGAGAGAACGAGAGUGGCGAGCGAGAUUCACCAGGAGAGAGGCAAAAUAACAACAGUUUGUUAUGGGGUACAAUUAAAUCAAACUAUGUUCAUAACAUUUAAUUUGAAUUAAUAGUUUGCGAUUAUAUACAAUUUUUCCUACCUUCAUUACCGCCGUCAGAUGGUGCACCUAUUUUGAGACAUGUGUGAUGAUUAUUUUCUUUUACAUUUUUCCUUAUUCUUCAUCUUUUAUCUCUUUUGAUGGUUGUUUUUUUGUCUUCUUUAGUCUGAUUUUGCAGGAGAGAUCUAUGAUGAAGAUUGUUAGAUGUUUUUGUGUAGUUCGAUUUUAUAAGGUAAAACUAUUUGAUGCUCCUAAUAUAGUUAUCACUUUUUCUCUGUUGCAAUUAUACCUUCAAUAUUAUUAUUUUUGAAUUCAUGAUAAUAUGAAUCAUGAAUUUUUUUUAGAAAAAAAUUGUUUGAUUUUUUCUCUUUGCAUCUUUUUGUAGUUUAUAGAGAAUUUUUUUUCUUCAUAUUGUAGUUUUUAGAGCAUUAGAUUAUGUUAUGUUGAUAACAAGAUUCUUCCUUUAUUUUUAACUCAUAAUUAAAUGUUCUUUAAAGGUUUUUAUUUGAUUAGUUAACUUCAUUUUUAUAUAUUUUUUUGUUGUUGUCGUAUGGUUAACUUAUUUUGUUUUCAUGUUAGGAUGUUUUUGAAAAUAGAAGCUGAAAAAAAAGUUAACACAUACAUGUAUUCUACUCAAUAAAACAUGUAUAUAUAAUUUUGUAGUCACGUAAAUCCAUUUUAAUAAUUAUUAUGAUAGAUUAUGAGAAUGUAAAGUUAAUUCAUAGUUUUUAAAAUAUUGUGUAAUUUAUAUAUAAAAAAAAUGUGUAUUGAUAUGGAAACUUUGAAGUCUUCAUAUUUUUAUUUUUUUAUUUUUUAUUAAUAUUUAUAUUGGAAGUUCUCAAGUUUUUGAGAUUUUCAGAGAUCACUAUUACAAUCUGUUUGAUCAGAAAUUAAAAUACAAAAGCAUUUGUUUAGGAUAAAAAUGAUUUAGUAAAUUCGUUCUCUCUCAAUCUACUUUCUUCUUAUUUAUCUUUCUAUUUUCUCAUUUUUCUUUGACAUUUUUUCUGUUUAUUUAUUACUUUUUAUUGUACAAAAAAAUAAAUGUAUUAGUUACUACUCCUCCAUUAAUUCAUAUUUUUUAAUAUAAAAAUUUAAGUGUCUUUAUUUUCCAUACUUUAGUGACUUUUGGUGAUCAUAACUCCUAAAUUAUAUUAAUAAUCAUGUUCAUGAUAUCAUUUGAAAAUUCACAUUAUUGUCCUAUAAAUAGAGGCAUUAUAAAAAUAAUUAUUAAAAAAUGAUCGAAUAUUAUAUAUAAAUAUAUUAAAAACAAAAAAAUAAUUUCCUUAACUCGUUUUUUUUUUAGGAAUUUUUUAAAUUCCAUCAUUUAAUUUUCUCAAUAACAAGUUUAUGUUAAAAGUGUUAAAAAAGAUCAUAUAUAUAAAUUAAUUUUCUUUUUAACAACAUAAAUGGGGUGUAAAUAAGGAUACUAAGAGUCAUAUCUUUUUCUUUUUCCUUUUUAUCAAAAUAAAUGUGUAUAUAUGAUUAAUGUGUAUUAAUAAAUUUAUUAUUAUUGAAAGCAAACAAAAGUUUCUUUUAUUUUUUCUACAUUAAAGAAUGACUUAUCCUUUGGAGAGUUAUUACUCCAAUUUAUUUAUAAUAAUUACCACAAUAAUAUUUUAAUAAUAGAAAUAAUUGUAUUUAUAUUGUCAACCUUUUUAUUGUCCUACCUUCAACAUUGCAUACGCAUAUUAUUUUUUAAAAUAUUUCUUUGUCGCUCUUUGAUAAUCUCUAUACAAUUGGAUUAGGUAAGUAUCACACCAAGUCACUAAAUGAUAUCAUGACUUAUCUUUUAUAGUUCAUUUUACAUUGUGUGUUUAACUUUUUUAUUUUUUUAUUGUAAAAAUAUAACCUCAACCGUAAUAUUGUUGCACUAUCGCAACUUAAUUCUCUCUUAUCGCAAUGCCUCUACAAGAAUGAGAGUUUAAAUACAAAAAACUUAAUAUUUUGCAUUAGAUUAGUGUCGGUACGAAUAUCGAAUAUCAAAAAAAAAAUAUCUCUAACUUUUGAAUUUCGUGCAUAACUAUGUUAGAAUAUAAUACAAGUAUUUCUUUCUCACCAUGAUUUACCAAAAAUGUAUCUUUAUUUAUUUAUUUUUAUUUUUAUUUUUAUGUCAUUUAUACAAAAAGAAAGUCACGUAAUUUAUAAUCGAAUAGAUUUAAUAGUGUUAACUGAAGCUUUUCAUAUCAACGUUUAUAUUUUGAACUUUUUUAUUUGUAUGGAAAAAAAAAAUUAGCAAUUUCUUUUUGAAGAAGUAAUAUCAAAGUCGUAUUUUAAUGUGUGUUUCUCUUUUAUUAUUAAUAGUGAAGUUAAUUCUUUAAAAAUAUGUUUAAGUUGUUUUAUAACCGCGCAAAGCGCGGACAAAUACAGUAGUUUAAAAAUAUAAAGUUCGAUUUUUGGAUGCUUUGUUACCUUCGAAUGUAAAGCUCCUAAUGUUCUAUUUUCUUUCCAAAAAAAAGUACGAAGAUAUUUAUUUUUUUGUAACUAUAGAACGUACGAAUAUGCUUAGCUGGUAAGACCCGGUUGACUGUUUUGACUGUAAAUAAAACAGAUUUUCUCAUUAAGUCAACGUCGUGUGCAUUCAGUGUUCCAAAAGUCAAAACGAAAUCUAUAAAUAAGCUGACAACUUAUCAUUACUACUACAACAAAUUUCAGGGGUAAAAAGGAAGAAUGACUAUUCUCUGUCAAGAGAAUGAAUGCUAUACCCUUGCACACAAACUGACUCAAGACCAAGAAAAUUACUACAUGGUGUCAGCUCUCCGACAUGUUGUCUCCGGUACCGGCGAUGGUAGGGUGAACGAUGAAGCUGCUCAGCUUUUGUUGGAAGUUCAAAAUGCUAGUAGUGGUAGGAGCAAUAUUGAUGUGGAGUUAGAGAGGGGGAAAAAGAGGAGGAGAAAUACAAAGAAGGAAUUUAGGGGAGUUAGACAAAGACCAUGGGGAAAAUGGGCCGCUGAGAUACGUGACCCGCAUAAAGCCCAACAACUUUGGCUUGGUACUUUUGUUACCGCUGAAGAUGCUGCUAGAGCUUACGACAAAAAGGCUAUAGAAUUUAGAGGUGAAAAGGCUAUAACCAACUUUCCUAUUACAGAAUAUGCUGAUGAGAUUAACAAGUCACCAACUGUAGUAAUGGAAGAAUUAAUACAAGUCAUUAAUGGUGUUGAGGUGGCUGUUAAUGGUGAAAAUAGUAUGCAAAAUGGUGAUGAGGACGACGACUUUUGGGAGACGUUAGAAGAUGAUGGACUUGUCAAGCGGAUCAAUAUGUUCUUCUGAUCCUCUCUCUAUUUUUGGGUCUGAAAAUAUCUUUAUUCUUUGGUUUGUCUGACGUCGUUUUCUUCAACUUUUUUUGAGUGGCUACUAAGGAGUGGUAGGAAAUAUCUUGUACUAGUAUUCAUGAGUAAUAAUGUACUCAAGUGUUAAGAGGCUGCAAUCAAAUCAUAUAUAUAUAGUUUAUAUAUUAAAUA